UACGUAGGGCGCAAGCGUUGUCCGGAAUUACUGGGCGUAAAGCGUGCGCAGGCGGUUCGUUGUGUCUGAUGUGAAAGCCCCGGGCUCAACCUGGGAAUGGCAUUGGAAACUGGCGAGCUAGAGUGUGGCAGAGGGGGGUGGAAUUCCGCGUGUAGCAGUGAAAUGCGUAGAGAUGCGGAGGAACACCGAUGGCGAAGGCAGCCCCCUGGGCUAGCACUGACGCUCAGGCACGAAAGCGUGGGGAGCAAACAGG
This 253-nucleotide ribosomal RNA is filed under the name uncultured bacterium. RNAcentral's name for it is "partial 16S ribosomal RNA". It matches the Rfam family "Bacterial small subunit ribosomal RNA", at positions 524 to 776 of the family's 1533-position model. The record is from RNAcentral.